AGGAUAAACGCUGGCGGCGUGCCUAACACAUGCAAGUCGAACGCUCUGCGCAAGCAGGGAGUGGCGGACGGGUGAGUAACACGUGGGGCAUCUACCCUUAAGUACGGAAUACCGGCGAGAAAUCGGCGACAAUACCGCAUACGCUUCUCUCGUAAGAGAGAAGGAAAGCUUGAAAAGGCGCUUGAGGAUGACCCUGCGGCUGAUUAGCUAGUUGGUGAGGUAAAAGCUCACCAAGGCGACGAUCAGUAGCUGGUCUGAGAGGACGAUCAGCCACACUGGGAUUGAGAACGGCCCAGACUCCUACGGGGGGCAGCAGUGAGGAAUUUUCGUCAAUGGGGGCAACCCUGAACGAGCAACGCCGCGUGUAGGAUGAAGGUCUUCGGAUCGUAAACUACUUUUCCCAGGGAAGAGAACGGAUGGUACCUGGGGAAGAAGCCCCGGCUAACUACGCGCCAGCAGCCGC
RNAcentral lists this ribosomal RNA (463 nucleotides) under uncultured bacterium. RNAcentral's name for it is "SSU rRNA". It matches the Rfam family "Bacterial small subunit ribosomal RNA", at positions 26 to 518 of the family's 1533-position model. The record is from RNAcentral.